UACGUAGGGUGCGAGCGUUGUCCGGAAUUAUUGGGCGUAAAGGGCGCGUAGGCGGUUUGUCGCGUCGGGUGUGAAAACUCGGGGCUUAACUCCGAGCCUGCUUCUGAUACGGGCAGACUAGAGGUAUGCAGGGGAGAAUGGAAUUCCUGGUGUAGCGGUGAAAUGCGCAGAUAUCAGGAGGAACACCGGUGGCGAAGGCGGUUCUCUGGGCAUGACCUGACGCUGAGGAGCGAAAGUGUGGGGAGCGAACAGG
RNAcentral lists this ribosomal RNA (253 nucleotides) under uncultured bacterium. RNAcentral's name for it is "partial 16S ribosomal RNA". It matches the Rfam family "Bacterial small subunit ribosomal RNA", at positions 524 to 776 of the family's 1533-position model. The record is from RNAcentral.